RNAcentral lists this ribosomal RNA (407 nucleotides) under uncultured bacterium. RNAcentral's name for it is "partial 16S ribosomal RNA". It matches the Rfam family "Bacterial small subunit ribosomal RNA", at positions 28 to 526 of the family's 1533-position model. The record is from RNAcentral.
GACGAACGCUGGCGGCGUGCCUCAUACAUGCAAGUAGAACGCAGUUGCGAACGGGUGAGUAACGCGUAGGUAACUUCAUCAUAGUGGGGGAUAACUAUUGGACACGAUAGCUAAUACCGCAUCCUGUGCGAUGGACCUGCUUUGUAUUUUCUAGUGGUUGAGGUAAAGGCUCACCAAGGCGACGAUCCAUCGCCGACCUGAGAGGGGGAUAGGCAAAGCUGGGAAUGAGACAAGGGCCAGACGCCUACGGGAGGCAACAGUAGGGAAGCGUCGGCAAGGGACGGAAGUCUGACCGAGCAACGCAGCGUGAGUGGAGAAGGUUUGCGGAUCGGAAAGCUCUGUUGUUAGAGAAGCGGUAACUAACCAGAAAGGGACGGCUAACUACGUGCCAGCAGCCGCGGUAAUUC